AAACCAUGAAUUGGAAACUUUUAUAUCAAGUCUUUAAACCUCUCACAUGCUUCAUUCAAGUUCCCAUCCAUUAUUUGCUCGAAAGAUAUGAUGUCAUUCCUAAAUCU
Hibiscus syriacus is the source of this 107-nucleotide small nucleolar RNA. The record is from RefSeq and is a predicted model, not a curated record. NCBI's taxonomy places the organism in Eukaryota, Viridiplantae, Streptophyta, Magnoliopsida, Malvales, Malvaceae.